The sequence is an unclassified non-coding RNA, 300 nucleotides long. The stretch from base 1 to 46 matches the Rfam family "Eukaryotic small subunit ribosomal RNA", at positions 1786 to 1831 of the family's 1831-position model.
AAGUCGUAACAAGGUCUUCGUAGGUGAACCUGCGAAGGGAUCAUUAACACGUUCCAAACCUAUUAUCAACCCAUCUGUGAACUUUUGUUACCGCCGAUAUGGCUGACUACGAGUGUAUGGCGCAUACGAGUGACUCUACGAUGUGAGGUGUAAAACGAGUAUCUAAACAUUACCCGUUCUAUGCCUGGUCUAGUAUGCCUUGUGUUCUGCUCCACUUUCGAGUGCAGUAGAACAGCGAUCCUUGUUGUUCAGUCCGGCCUUAUAUAUGCGCUUCCGCAGUCGUCAUCUGCUGUCGACUCG